GACGAACGCUGGCGGCGUGCUUAACACAUGCAAGUCGAACGGAAAGGCCCUGCUUUUGUGGGGCGCUCGAGUGGCGAACGGGUGAGUAACACGUGAGUAACCUGCCCUUGACUUUGGGAUAACUUCAGGAAACUGGGGCUAAUACCGGAUAGGAGCUCCUGCUGCAUGGUGGGGGUUGGAAAGUUUCGGCGGUUGGGGAUGGACUCGCGGCUUAUCAGCUUGUUGGUGGGGUAGUGGCUUACCAAGGCUUUGACGGGUAGCCGGCCUGAGAGGGUGACCGGCCACAUUGGGACUGAGAUACGGCCCAGACUCCUACGGGAGGCAGCAGUGGGGAAUAUUGCACAAUGGGCGGAAGCCUGAUGCAGCAACGCCGCGUGCGGGAUGACGGCCUUCGGGUUGUAAACCGCUUUCGCCUGUGACGAAGCGUGAGUGACGGUAAUGGGUAAAGAAGCACCGGCUAACUACGUGCCAGCAGCCGCGGUGAUACGUAGGGUGCGAGCGUUGUCCGGAUUUAUUGGGCGUAAAGGGCUCGUAGGUGGUUGAUCGCGUCGGAAGUGUAAUCUUGGGGCUUAACCCUGAGCGUGCUUUCGAUACGGGUUGACUUGAGGAAGGUAGGGGAGAAUGGAAUUCCUGGUGGAGCGGUGGAAUGCGCAGAUAUCAGGAGGAACACCAGUGGCGAAGGCGGUUCUCUGGGCCUUUCCUGACGCUGAGGAGCGAAAGCGUGGGGAGCGAACAGGCUUAGAUACCCUGGUAGUCCACGCUGUAAACGGUGGGUACUAGGUGUGGGGUCCAUUCCACGGGUUCCGUGCCGUAGCUAACGCUUUAAGUACCCCGCCUGGGGAGUACGGCCGCAAGGCUAAAACUCAAAGGAAUUGACGGGGCCCCGCACAAGCGGCGGAGCAUGCGGAUUAAUUCGAUGCAACGCGUAGAACCUUACCUGGGUUUGACAUGGAUCGGGAGUGCUCAGAGAUGGGUGUGCCUCUUUUGGGGUCGGUUCACAGGUGGUGCAUGGCUGUCGUCAGCUCGUGUCGUGAGAUGUUGGGUUAAGUCCCGCAACGAGCGCAACCCUUGUUCACUGUUGCCAGCACGUUAUGGUGGGGACUCAGUGGAGACCGCCGGGGUCAACUCGGAGGAAGGUGGGGAUGACGUCAAGUCAUCAUGCCCCUUAUGUCCAGGGCUUCACGCAUGCUACAAUGGCUGGUACAGAGAGUGGCGAGCCUGUGAGGGUGAGCGAAUCUCGGAAAGCCGGUCUCAGUUCGGAUUGGGGUCUACAACUCGACCUCAUGAAGUCGGAGUCGCUAGUAAUCGCAGAUCAGCAACGCUGCGGUGAAAACGUUCCCGGG
This 1343-nucleotide ribosomal RNA is filed under the name uncultured bacterium. RNAcentral describes it as "16S ribosomal RNA". It matches the Rfam family "Bacterial small subunit ribosomal RNA", at positions 28 to 1378 of the family's 1533-position model. The record is from RNAcentral.